This is a non-coding RNA of Phascolarctos cinereus (koala), 1341 nucleotides long. The record is from RefSeq and is a predicted model, not a curated record. NCBI's taxonomy places the organism in Eukaryota, Metazoa, Chordata, Mammalia, Diprotodontia, Phascolarctidae.
AAAACCAGUAGAACCAAAAGGUGAAAUGUGGCUAUGUCACCUUCCCUCCCCCAAGCCUGCUUGUCUGGGAUCCCAGGAUGGGGUAGGGGGAAGCCUGUCCUAGGCUCACGCAGUUCCCUGCUGACACUAAGUCCUCCAGGAAUGGAGACAUUCUAGGUCCAAUUGCCCAUUUCUACAUUAAUGGUUAUUUGGGAGUGGGUAGCCAAGCUCUUUGGUCAUCACAGUACGGAUUUAUAUAGAGAGAGCAAGUGGCCAUGUGUGGUCUCUGUUGGGGGCUUAUUCCAUCAACAUCAGCCCAUCCUUCUCCACGUGCUGACAGAGAAUUGGCAAUUUUCUAGAAACCAACCCAUUAUAUCAGCUUCAGUCUUCACCAGCCAGUGACAUUUGCUUUGUAAACAUUUUCAUUUAGAAGACAAAGAUCUUCCUUACAUCAUGGGAAUUCGUGACUCUUCUAGCCAAAUCUUGGUCCUUCAAAGGAAGAUCCUUGUGGCAGUUCCCUUUGCGAGACCGGGCACAAGAAUCGCCUUGAUGGCCACACCACGCUGAGAUGAGUCUCUUGAAAAAGACAAAGGCAAUCCUAUUUACCUGGGAAUAGCAGAGACUAAACUGUGCCUGUGCUGUGAAGAUAGUGGGGGGCAACCCAUACUGAAGCUGCAGGAGAAGGACAUAAUGGAAUUAUAUCGUGCCCCGAAAGCAGAUACAUCUUUUGUAUUUUACAUACAUCCGCAUUGACUUCGAUGACCUUUUUAGUAUUGAGUCAGCAGCCUAUCCUGAGUGGUUAUUACUACUAAUGUAUUUGGCAGUAAACCUGUCUUCCUGACCUAGCAUACGAAGUAUUAUAAUACAGACUUCAUCUUGUAUUACUGGUAAUUUUGGGACACAUAGCCUCAGUUCAACAAAAGCCUGCUCUGCUUGCACAGUGCAUCACGUAUUCCAAACCACUUUCAUGGAUAUUAAUCUUGUUCCUGUGUUGGGAGAUAGGAAAUAUAAUAAGAUAUGUUUCUGCCUUCUAGGGGUUUAGAUUUAAUACCACUGAGUUAAAUAAACAUAUGUCAACUGUUGCAGUAUUGAUAUAGAGGUCCUAGGUGACUGAGGCUUUUAGUGUCUCAACUCCUGAACUCCCCAUCCAGCCAUUUUCCCUCACAUUUCCCAAGGGAGCAGACACUCAGCAGAGCAGUUCCUAGUGAUGGAGUGAUGGCUGACAGCAGACAUGGGGGCCUUGGCCAGGUGGCAUUUAGGAAUAUAUGUCUUUUGGAAUUGCUUUGAGGAGGAUGCUUUCCAGACCAGACUUGUCCCAGGGGCUGAAGUUUUGUGGCUGUUUCUCAGACCUAAAACUUUAGC